This 468-nucleotide ribosomal RNA is filed under the name uncultured bacterium. Its description in RNAcentral is "partial 16S ribosomal RNA". It matches the Rfam family "Bacterial small subunit ribosomal RNA", at positions 28 to 507 of the family's 1533-position model. The record is from RNAcentral.
GACGAACGCUGGCGGCGUGCUUAACACAUGCAAGUCGAACGGAAAGGCCCUGCUUUUGUGGGGUGCUCGAGUGGCGAACGGGUGAGUAACACGUGAGUAACCUGCCCUUGACUUUGGGAUAACUUCAGGAAACUGGGGCUAAUACCGGAUAGGAGCUCCUGCUGCAUGGUGGGGGUUGGAAAGUUUCGGCGGUUGGGGAUGGACUCGCGGCUUAUCAGCUUGUUGGUGGGGUAGUGGCUUACCAAGGCUUUGACGGGUAGCCGGCCUGAGAGGGUGACCGGCCACAUUGGGACUGAGAUACGGCGCAGACUCCUACGGGAGGCAGCAGUGGGGAAUAUUGCACAAUGGGCGGAAGCGUGAUGCAGCAACGCCGCGUGCGGGAUGACGGCCUUCGGGUUGUGAACCGCUUUCGCCUGUGACGAAGCGUGAGUGACGGUAAUGGGUAAAGAAGCACCGGCUAACUACGUG